CCUACGGGUGGCAGCAGUGAGGAAUAUUGGUCAAUGGCCGGAAGGCUGAACCAGCCAUGCCGCGUGAAGGUCAGUGCCCUAUGGGCGUUAAACUUCUUUUGUGCGGGAGCAAUAAUGGUCACGUUUGGCCAGACGAGAGUACCGUACGAAUAAGCAUCGGCUAACCCCGUGCCAGCAGCCGCGGUAAUACGGGGGAUGCAAGGGUUAUCCGGAUUUAUUGGGUUUAAAGGGUGCGUAGGCUGGGAGGUAAGUCAGCGGUGAAAUGCCCGCGCUCAACGGGGUGAAGUGCCAUUGAUACUGGCUGGCUGGAAUGCGGAUGCCGUGGGAGGAAUGUGUGGUGUAGCGGUGAAAUGCAUAGAUAUCACACAGAACACCGAUUGCGAAGGCAUCUCACGAAUCCGCGAUUGACGCUGAUGCACGAAAGCGUGGGUAUCAAACAGGAUUAGAUACCCUAGUAGUC
RNAcentral lists this ribosomal RNA (460 nucleotides) under uncultured bacterium. RNAcentral's name for it is "partial 16S ribosomal RNA". It matches the Rfam family "Bacterial small subunit ribosomal RNA", at positions 338 to 795 of the family's 1533-position model. The record is from RNAcentral.